Molecule: ribosomal RNA, 253 nt
Filed under: uncultured bacterium
Lineage: Bacteria
Description: partial 16S ribosomal RNA
Rfam family: Bacterial small subunit ribosomal RNA
Source: RNAcentral
UACGGAGGGGGCUAGCGUUGUUCGGAGUUACUGGGCGUAAAGCGCACGUAGGCGGCUUUGUAAGUUAGAGAUGAAAGCCCGGGGCUCAACUCCGGAAUUGCCUUUAAGACUGCAUCGCUAGAAUUGUGGAGAGGUAAGUGGAAUUCCGAGUGUAGAGGUGAAAUUUGUAGAUAUUCGGAAGAACACCAGUGGCGAAGGCGACUUACUGGACACAUAUUGACGCUGAGGCACGAAAGCGUGGGGAGCAAACAGG